GACGAACGCUGGCGGCGUGCUUAACACAUGCAAGUCGAACGCGGAAGCCCUUUCGGGGGUGGAUGAGUGGCGAACGGGUGAGUAACACGUGGGUAAUCUGCCCUGUACUUCGGGAUAAGCCUUGGAAACGGGGUCUAAUACCGGAUAGGACCUGUCCUCGCAUGGGGGUGGGUGGAAAGUUCCGGCGGUAUGGGAUGAGCCCGCGGCCUAUCAGCUUGUUGGUGGGGUAGUGGCCUACCAAGGCGACGACGGGUAGCCGGCCUGAGAGGGUGACCGGUCUCACUGGGACUGAGACACGGCCCAGACUCCUACGGGAGGCAGCAGUGGGGAAUCUUGCGCAAUGGGCGAAAGCCUGACGCAGCAACGCCGCGUGGGGGAUGACGGCCUUCGGGUUGUAAACCUCUUUCGACAUCGACGAAGGGGCCCUGUUGUGGGGUUUUGACGGUAGGUGUAGAAGAAGCACCGGCUAACUACGUGCCAGCCGCCGCAGUAA
RNAcentral lists this ribosomal RNA (493 nucleotides) under uncultured bacterium. RNAcentral's name for it is "partial 16S ribosomal RNA". It matches the Rfam family "Bacterial small subunit ribosomal RNA", at positions 28 to 523 of the family's 1533-position model. The record is from RNAcentral.